Molecule: small RNA, 197 nt
Filed under: Pseudomonas graminis
Lineage: Bacteria; Pseudomonadati; Pseudomonadota; Gammaproteobacteria; Pseudomonadales; Pseudomonadaceae
Description: Pseudomonas sRNA P16
Rfam family: RgsA sRNA
About the family: P16 sRNA appears to be conserved across several Pseudomonas species and Azotobacter vinelandii. In these species it is consistently located downstream of a predicted TatD deoxyribonuclease gene. P16 has a predicted Rho independent terminator at the 3' end but the function of P16 is unknown.
Source: RNAcentral
UCAGCAGCGCGUCAGGUAUUCCAAAACUGUUUAAAAAUCGUACAGCACGCGGCUGGACGCCUGCGAAUUAUAGCCAAUACUUAUAUUCGCCAACGCAGCAUCUCCCCCAAGUGCCAGCGUUGGUAAGGACACCUAUGGAUAGCGCGUCCUUGUUUACUCCUAAUGGUCUUAACCCGGAUUCACCCCCCAGAACCCGG